Molecule: long non-coding RNA, 966 nt
Filed under: Ananas comosus (pineapple)
Lineage: Eukaryota; Viridiplantae; Streptophyta; Magnoliopsida; Poales; Bromeliaceae
Description: long non-coding RNA (ACOM_LNC027080)
Source: RNAcentral
AAUUUUUUUAAUACUAAAAAUUUAUUGAUUUUUGUGAAAAUGAGUAAUCAGAGGAUUCCCAUUUAUCCGAAAAUUAAAAUUGGAAUGAAAAUACCGCAUACUAAAUACGGACAAACGAAUUCGUCCAUUUCGAUUCUGAUUUCAAGCUGAAAAAAGGACGAACCAAACACGCCCAUUGUUCAAAAAUGUCGCUCUUAUUAAAGAGGUUCGAGCUUUUUACGAUUGGUAAAGCACUGAAACCGAUGCAGAUGAACACUAAUCCAUAAGAUUACAGCUCCAUAUUUGUCUGUCUCUAAUAGAAUGACAGAAAGAAAGAAUAUAACUCUGGUUAAAAAUUUUAUUUAAUCAUUGUGAUAGUAAAUUGAGGGAAAACUUCAAAUACCACCGCUGUGAUUUCACACUUUUUCAUUUUAAUAUCAUGUGGUUUAAAGUGUAUCAAUUUUGUAUCCUAUAGCUUCGCACUUUCUCACUUUUAGUACCCCAUGGUUUAAAAUGCAUCAAUUUAGUACCCUGCGGUUUCAUUUUUUUCUUUUCCUCGGCUUUUCUGUUAAUAUUUCGUUAAAUUAUGUACAAAAAACUUCAAAUACUCUACGUAGGUUUAUCGAAUAUUUACUUUAGUACCCUUUAGUUUUAACUUUGUCACUAUUUUUUUUUCAUCCGUUAAUAUUUCGUUAAAUUAUAUACAAAAAAGUUCAUAUAUCUUAUUUAGAUUUAUCGAAUAUUCACUUUAAUACCCUUUAAUUUUAACUUUGUCACUAAUUUAAUGAAAAAAUUAGUAAAAUAAAUAAUAAAAAGAGAAAAAUAAAAUCACAGAGUACUAAUUUGAUAUACUUUAAACUACAGAAUAUUAAAGUGAGAAAGUACGAAACCACAAGGACUAAUUUAUAUCCUUUAAUAAAUUUAUUAAAAUGAGAAAGUGUAAAAUCGCGGUGGGGUAUUUGAAGUUUAUCCUUAAAUUUAUAAAAA